CUAGCCCGACGAUGUUAAAUCCUUGGAAGAGUUGGAAGCCGUGGAAUUAUCUAGAAACGGAGAGAGAGAGAUGAGGCCGAUGCAGAUGGAGUUCUUUGCUGACAUGGACGAGCAAGGAUCGUCGGUAGCGAUGGACGUGGAUGACGUGGACCCGCUGGAGAUCUUUGGAGAAGGCGUAAUCAGUGUCGAUAACAAGCUCGCUGAUGCUGAUUUCUUCAAUAAUUUCGAGGAUGAUUUUGAUGACUCUGACAUCAAUUGAUGCCCUUCUGUUCUAUUGUAGGGUGUUGACAGAGUAGGCUUUGGAGAUGACAACUUGUGAGAAAUUUUGCUGCAUGGUUGGCCGUGACUGCGGGCUGGUAUCAAGGCAAGCAAAUGCUACAUUUGCAAUAUUGACCACUGCCUCUGCUACUUGAUUUUUGGAGGAUGAAGGCGUUGGUCCAAUACAUCCUUUAGUAGAAUCUCAUUUUGAUGGGCAGCUGAUGAUGAGGAGGAGGAGGAGGAGGAUAUGGACGUGAUGAGGUCAACUUCCCAUCAUUACUUCCCAUGUCACUACUGCAAAGCUGUACACUAUUUGUUGAGUCAGCCACACACCAAAAAUGACUCAAUCAUCAUCGUUGAUUCUGGCGACCUAGCUGAACCCGUCUCAUAGAUGACUUGCUUGAUGCAGGCGACCCAGCAGUUGGACGGGUCCAACCGACCCAGCAGAACUUUUACCCAUCUCGAUGCAGGCGACCCAGCUGCAGAACCCGUCUAAAUGCAAAAAUCGUCAUCAUUGUCGAUACAUGCAGCAAGCGUCCCUUGCCCUCUAAGUCUCUAACCUCGCUGUGACGCUGUCUUACUUCUUCUUCUUCUCUAACCAAGCGCGAGCGACUCUUCUUCUUCUUCAAACCUGCUGCUCGGGUUUUAUUCUUCACAUAUUAAUAGCAACAUCUAACGGCGAGCGAGAUUGGUCGGCGAUAAACAUAUGUAGCAAGUGAUGUGUUAUUCUUCAUAAAUCCGGCAUCCACAUCAGCAAAUUAGUGCCGGAUUCCUCAUUGGUACUGGCGGAAGAUACAGAAAUAAUAGGAGUGGUACAAAAAAAAAACAAAUUAAAGGUUUGGUACCAUUUGGAAAAAAGUGCGAAGGAUUGAUACCAGCGGCGCAUUUAACCUGCAUAUUGUCAUUCAACUUCAGAACCAAUAAUGGCAUAUCUCCCGGUUCCUUUGGGAUCUCUCCUACUAAUUUAUUGGAGGAGAAGUCAAGCACCUGCAGUUGAGUUGCUCUGGAAAUUCCAGGUGGUAUGAUACCUGAAAUUCUAUUAUUAGAAAUGUUCAAGCUUGUCAGACUUUAGCACUGCCCCUAAUUUUAUGAUAGCUCACCGUACAAGUUGUUGCAAGUGAAAUCAAUGUAUUUUAAGUACGGAUAUAUACCAAAGUCUUCUGAUAUGUUUCCUCUAAGUUGAUUCUUUUCAAGCCGAACUCUAACUAAGCUGGUGCAGUUCAAGGUCUUAGGAAUGGGGCCUGUGAUAUUGUUUUCAUUCGCAGUCAAUAUGCUAAGCAUUCCUCCAUGCACUUGUUUGGUGGUAGGUGACCAAACAAAUUGUUACUGAUCAACCCAAUGAAGUUCAGAGAUGUAAGAUUAUUCAGCUCUUUAGGUAUCUGGCCAGUGAGUUUAUUUAUGUUAAAACUUAGAUGACCAAGGGAUCUGAGUUUUCCUAUUGCAUAAGGAACAGGCCCUGAGAGCUCAUUCUCAAAUAAAUUGAUGAUAAUCAAAUUGUUCAAAUUUCCAACGGAAGCAGUUUUCUACCUGUUAGGAAGUUUCGUUGCAAAGAAAGAUCAUUGAGUGAAUUGAGAAUUCCUAUUUGUUGAGGGAUGGAUCAGGAAAUUCUAAUUUCGUUGAGCCAUAAAUAUGAAAGCUUGCUCAUAUUUCCUAUAGGCAAUGGAAUGGAACCUGAGAGAAAAUUCUCAGCAGCUGUGAACCAUUUGAGAGACCUAAAAUUUCCUAUUUCCUGAGGUAGGGAUCCUUCUAUUUCGUUCUUGUCUAGGUACAAGAUUUCAAGACUUGAAAGAAGGCCCAUCCCAGAUCGAAUGUUUCCAGAGACAUAAUUAUUACUCAAGUCGAGAUACAACAGUUCUGACAGGUUUCCUAUUUCUUGAGGGAUGGAACCAUUUAUCUCAUUCUCCCUCAUAUAAAUAUAGUCAAGGCUGGAGAGAAGGCCUAUAUGAGUUGGAAUCUCUCCAGACAGAUUAUUGAAACUUAAGGCUGGUGAGUUUUGUAACAAUGGUGAGGUGGGAUGGAAGGGUUCCAUAGAGCGAGUUAUUAUGAAGAUCUAGCUCAAGUAGGUUAGGGAAGGAAGAAAAAUCCAGAUCAUGGAGCGUACCUCUCAAAUUGCCACCACUAACAGUGAUAUGAAUGACACUUCCGGACUCAUUACAAGAUAUUCCAUCCCAGUUGCAGGGGCUACUAGAAGAAGAAUUAUAAGGCCAGGUGGAAUUAUCAAGCUUCCAUGAUAUGAGAAGAGAAUGAAUUGGAUACUGAAGGCUGUUUUUCCAUUUGAGAAAUGCCUCUGCUUCUUGUCCUUCUCCAGUCCAAGAAGAAGAAGAGGAAGAAGAAGAAGCAGAAGAAUGGGAAACAGAAAGCAACAAAGUGAUGGAGAGGAGAAGUUGGAAUGAAACAGACUGAUUCUUGAAGAGUGGUCUUCCUAGAAAAGUUGCCAUCAUUUGGAGCUGCUUAAAGGAGUUAUGGUGGUGGUGUCAAUGGAUGAUUUAAUGUAGUAUCAUGAGGAUUUUUACAAGUGGUGAGAGCAAAGACCAUCUAAUCAAUCAGAGUAACAUAAUAAGAGGUGAAGCUUUCUUGAUGAAUAGUAACUUAGUGAGAAAACAUUAACCAGAGUUUCAUAAUACAAAUAAAACUUAAUUAUCAUUCUGCAGAAUACUUGGGACAUUCUUGAUUUUCCCACGUGCUACAUACUUACAAUGAGUAGGUAGAGAAAAAUAAGAUCACUGCUGAACACCUGGUUCUUACUGUGUAAAUGUCUCUUUCAAAAAUAAAGGACGGAUUAUGCGAGUGAGCUAUUGACACAUCGCAUUCAUCACAA
This is an RNA transcript of Ricinus communis (castor bean), 3076 nucleotides long. It is a transcript of the gene named small acidic protein 1, with no coding region annotated. The transcript is spliced from 3 exons. NCBI's taxonomy places the organism in Eukaryota, Viridiplantae, Streptophyta, Magnoliopsida, Malpighiales, Euphorbiaceae. The record is from RefSeq and is a predicted model, not a curated record.